AAUCAACGCUGGCGGCGUGCCUCAGACAUGCAAGUCGAACGAUUAAAGCUCUCUUCGGAGAGUGUAUAGAGUGGCGCACAGGUGAGUAACACGUAAGUAAUCUACCUUCGAGUGGGGAUAACGUCCGGAACGGACGCUAAUACCGCAUAAUGCAGCGGCAUCGCAAGAUGACAGUUGUUAAAGAUUUAUCGCUUGAAGAGGAGCUUGCGGCAGAUUAGCUAGUUGGUAAGGUAAUGGCUUACCAAGGCUACGAUCUGUAACCGGUCUAAGAGGACGGUCGGUCACACUGACACUGAAUAACGGGUCAGACUCCUACGGGAGGCAGCAGUCGGGGAAUUUUGGGCAAUGGGCGAAAGCCUGACCCAGCAACGCCGCGUGAAGGAUGAAGUAUUUCGGUAU
RNAcentral lists this ribosomal RNA (399 nucleotides) under uncultured bacterium. RNAcentral's name for it is "bacterial SSU rRNA". It matches the Rfam family "Bacterial small subunit ribosomal RNA", at positions 32 to 424 of the family's 1533-position model. The record is from RNAcentral.